This 568-nucleotide long non-coding RNA is filed under the name Pogona vitticeps (central bearded dragon). Its description in RNAcentral is "lncRNA (ENSPVIG00000001295.1)". The record is from RNAcentral. Lineage: Eukaryota; Metazoa; Chordata; Lepidosauria; Squamata; Agamidae.
UUAAUUCACUUUAUGUGAAGGAACAACACAUUAGUUUAAAGUCUGCAUAUGCUGAAUGGCAAUUAUCAUUCUUAGCUCUUCCAUCUGCCAGGGUUAAGUCCCAAGUCUGAAAACACGUUCAGAGUCGUGUCACAAACUAAGUAACAAUUGCUUCUACAACUAUCAUUUAACAUUUGUUGGCCUGAAGAAUAUAGAGUCUUUGUGCAAGAUAAUUUGCAGUCUAACCUGGACUGUUAAGUGACAUGUAAGGGAGAAGUUAAACAUUUGGGAAUGGGCAGCUGAAUGUGUCGUAUUUGGGAAUGUCCGGAAGGAAACUUUGGCAGUUGUUGAUCAGCAGGUUGCCUCUGUGAUGCUUUGCAGUUCACAACUUUUAAAAGAAGACAAGUCAUAUGCAGCAAGAACCCAAAGCCCUGUGUGUUUUGCUGUCAGCUCAAUGUGUUGAAGAAGAAGAAGAUAGCUGGGUUGUUUGGAUUAAAUCCUCUUUGCUUUCCAAGGCAUGCCAGAUUGCCUACAUUUGGGUUGAUGCAGUUCAAGCAGCAUCCAGCUUUCUCUUGAGGCAUUAAGAAAA